Sinocyclocheilus rhinocerous is the source of this 401-nucleotide long non-coding RNA. RefSeq lists it as uncharacterized. The record is from RefSeq and is a predicted model, not a curated record. NCBI's taxonomy places the organism in Eukaryota, Metazoa, Chordata, Actinopteri, Cypriniformes, Cyprinidae. The transcript has 2 exons.
UUCCCUGGCAUGUUGUCUGUCUCGCUAUAUCACCAACAACCAAUAUGAGAUGGUGUAGUGAUCCACAGGGUAUCAACUGGAGAUCACCGAGAGCUGGACCUGACAAAAAGGGAAAACAUUUAGUUUCAGUGUUCUGUAUGUGUGCCUUAGCUAAACAUUUCAUUUUAGUGAAUUUCUGACUGCUUUUUAAAGAAUAGUUCUUGUUGGUAGCUACAUUGAAGGGAAGGAACCGGUUUGCAUUUGUUUUGCCAGAGUUGUAAAUAUAACAGCAAUUAGAUAUACAGACGUUUGUAGAAAGUGCCGGUGUUAAACCAAGAACCAGUUAUGCAGUGUACUGCGCACCUUGACUUUUGUUUCAUUGGAAUUAACACAUACUAAAACUUUGCAUCUAGUAAAAAAAA